Molecule: long non-coding RNA, 2401 nt
Organism: Sapajus apella (tufted capuchin)
Lineage: Eukaryota; Metazoa; Chordata; Mammalia; Primates; Cebidae
Exons: 2
Source: RefSeq, a predicted model, not a curated record
AAAAUGUUGUUGAGUGGUCCACAGCUGAGUAUGGCCCACUCCUAGGGAGACUGGCUUGUUAGCAUUUCUGGACCGCAGCUGCUGUGGUAAGUAAUUUUUGGGUGGCAACUUGGCUGACUUCCUCAUUGUUGAUUGCCUAAUCCUGCAUCUUCUCAUAUUAGCCAAGUGUGUCGCCACUGGAAUCAUGUCUGACCGUGGAAUUUAUGAAAUCCACUGCUGUGUGGUAAACACCCAGUCUCCAAAUGUCACACAAAACCAUCAUCCACUGAGUUUUGCCCCCUGAAGACUACUUGUUCAACUUGUGUGAAUUAAGUUUCCGUUCUAAGAAUGAAAUUUACAAACUGACAAGGCCAGAUCUGACAGCAAAAGGGUCAGGAGAAAUAGAAUGUUGUCAUCCUUGACCAGAUAGAGUCGAUGUUUAAAUAUGAUAUAAUUGAUAUUGGAGGUUAAAGUGGAUUUGGCUCUUAGAUAUGAGUUGAGAGAGUUGUGUUCCGUUAUUUGAAGGUGGAGCGUAGGGGUUCAAUUUUGAACAUUUGAUGUGUAAUUUAUUUGCUAGACAAUUUAUGUGCCAAUAUUAAGUAAGCAGUUGAAUUCAUAAGUCUGAAGUUCGGGAAAUAGGGUUGGACUACAGACAUAAAUUUGGAAGUUAUCAGCAAGUAGAUUUUUAAAUAUUAAAUUUAAAUAGUUAGAGCCAUGAAACUAUAGGAGAUCACCAAAGAAGUUGGAGUUAGAGCUUCCCAGGUAGAAGAGAAAAGGACCAGAGACUAAGCCCUAUAUCACUCCAGCAAUAGUUUGGAGAAAAUAGGAAGAAUCAGCAAAGGAGAUAGAGAAGGUACAAACCAGUGAAGUAGGAGAAAAAGUCCAGAAUCCUGGAAGCCAAAUGAAGAAUGUAUAGAGUGGAAGAGGGCAGGAUCCACCUUUCAAAUGCCACUGAGAGCUUGAGUAAUAUGAUGAUUAAAUAUCGACCUUUGGAUUUAACAACAUGGAUGUCAUUAGUGAUCUUGAUUAGAGUAAUUCUGGUGUGUGGUGGAGACAAAAGCCUGACUGCAGUGGGUUUAAGAAACAAUGUGAGGUGAAUUGGAGUCAGUGAGUAUGAAUAAUUACUUUGAGUUUUGUUUCAAAGGAGAGCAAAGGAAUGGGGCAAACCUGAUAAGGGUGUGAGAUCCAUAGGGGAUUUCUAGGAAGACAUAUGAACAAUAGCAUGUUCACAUGCCAAUAGAAUUUUCCAUUAGAUAGUGAAAUAUUGACAAAGAGAAGAAGGGGAAACCUUCUGGGUGUUGCCUAUUUAAGGGGAAUAGGACUUAAUAUGUAAGUGGAAGGUUCGGCUUUAGGUAGCAUGGAUAGAUGAUCUAUAGUCAUAAGUGGAAAGACAGAGAAUAUAAUCCUCGAUGCUGUAGAUGGAUUGAUAUGUGGUAAGAGACUGUCAGUGUUUUCUUCUGCUUGUUUUAAUAUUCUUAUUGAGGUAUGAAGCCAGCUUUAUUCCCCUACAUGUGUUUUCAAAUAUAUUUCUAGAAUGAGUUACUCUUCCUCAUGUGUACUAAUUCUUGCUGACAUAUCCUUGUUCACACCUGGAAUACCUGUAUCUUUUCAGUCCGUAACCCUAAUUACUUCUCAGAGUCCAACUCCGAUUCCACCAGAACAUUAAUGUUGAUUGCUUGCAAAUACCUUAGAAGUUGCAGAUGAGGCUGAUCUCCACAGAAAAGGUAGAGGGGGAGCCACUUUUCCAUCCUUUCCUAUCUCCUCCUUCCCCAACCACCUGCCCACCCAAACCCUAGGCCCAGCUGGCUUUGGAGGACUCCAGUUGAACCUUCACCUUUUACAGGGAUGGAGCAGUCUCUGCAAGACAGGGGUUGGCAGAAGUAGGAAGCAAACAAAUUGAGAAAAGAAACAGUAAGAAGAGGAAGUUCUUGACAGGGAGAAUUGUUUUUCAAGAGGGUUAUAUUUUUAUUCUGAACAACAUCCAUUUGUUUGAUAAAUAUAUCAUUGUCUUCUACAUGUGAGCAUUGUGCUAGUGAUGGGGCUACAAUGGUGAGAAGGUAGAGGGAGCCCCUGACACUGAGAGUUUAACGUCUGAACGUAGUCUGAGCAGCGUCGUGACAUGCUGACUCCUGUUAAGUGCAGUGCCUGUUAUCAUCUCUGCCCAAAGGUUUUGCUUUACUUAUAAUUAGUUAGAGUCAUUUGGUAUUUUGAUGGUUGAUGGAUGCCAACACUGCACAAAACUCUCCAAUGUUCCAUGAGACCACAGGAUUAACUGUGAUGCAGGUCAGACUACGACUUCAAGCAAUGUACUUAAAGCAAGUACAUCCUUUCCUAACAUAAGGCAGUGCUGUCCAAUGUAAAUAUAAGCCACACGUGUAAUUUAAAAUUUUCUGAUGGCCACAUUUUAAAAAACAAAAAAUAU